This 258-nucleotide unclassified non-coding RNA is filed under the name plant metagenome. RNAcentral describes it as "partial contains small subunit ribosomal RNA and internal transcribed spacer 1". The stretch from base 1 to 47 matches the Rfam family "Eukaryotic small subunit ribosomal RNA", at positions 1785 to 1831 of the family's 1831-position model. The record is from RNAcentral.
AAUGUCGUAACAAGGUUUCCGUAGGUGAACCUGCGGAAGGAUCAUUGCAAAUUAAAUGCUGGUAGGAAGGUGGGUCUUGAUCUGUAAGGUGGUAGAGCGAACAGUCCGGCUGCCUCCCGAAAUGUCUUACAUGUCCCCGACAGCCUGAAGGCCGAAUUAACCCUUGAUAUCUACACUUGUUGCUUGGGUGCCAAGGUGCCCAGAGGACCCAACUCUCUUGCAUUUAGUGACGUCUGAGUAUUAUAUAAUAUUUAAAAU